GUUUCCGUAGUGUAGUGGUUAUCACGUGGGUUUUACACACCCAAGGUCCCCGGUUCGAGCCCGGGCGGAAACA
This 73-nucleotide transfer RNA is filed under the name Strongylocentrotus purpuratus (purple sea urchin). RNAcentral's name for it is "tRNA-Val (TAC) (tRNA-Val-TAC-1-1)". It matches the Rfam family "tRNA". From Rfam's summary of the family: Transfer RNA (tRNA) molecules are approximately 80 nucleotides in length. Their secondary structure includes four short double-helical elements and three loops (D, anti-codon, and T loops). Lineage: Eukaryota; Metazoa; Echinodermata; Echinoidea; Camarodonta; Strongylocentrotidae. The record is from Rfam by way of RNAcentral.